AUUGAACGCUGGCGGCAGGCCUAACACAUGCAAGUCGAGCGGAUGAAGGGAGCUUGCUCCUGGAUUCAGCGGCGGACGGGUGAGUAAUGCCUAGGAAUCUGCCCGGUAGUGGGGGAUAACGUCCGGAAACGGGCGCUAAUACCGCAUACGUCCUGAGGGAGAAAGUGGGGGAUCUUCGGACCUCACGCUAUCAGAUGAGCCUAGGUCGGAUUAGCUAGUUGGUGGGGUAAAGGCCUACCAAGGCGACGAUCCGUAACUGGUCUGAGAGGAUGAUCAGUCACACUGGAACUGGGACACGGUCCAGACUCCUACGGGAGGCAGCAGUGGGGAAUAUUGGACAAUGGGCGAAAGCCUGAUCCAGCCAUGCCGCGUGUGUGAAGAAGGUCUUCGGAUUGUAAAGCACUUUAAGUUGGGAGGAAGGGCAGUAAGUUAAUACCUUGCUGUUUUGACGUUACCAACAGAAUAAGCACCGGCUAACUUCGUG
This 484-nucleotide ribosomal RNA is filed under the name uncultured bacterium. RNAcentral's name for it is "partial 16S ribosomal RNA". It matches the Rfam family "Bacterial small subunit ribosomal RNA", at positions 30 to 507 of the family's 1533-position model. The record is from RNAcentral.